This 7492-nucleotide long non-coding RNA is filed under the name Nicotiana benthamiana. RNAcentral describes it as "long non-coding RNA (NBEN_LNC039696)". The record is from RNAcentral. Lineage: Eukaryota; Viridiplantae; Streptophyta; Magnoliopsida; Solanales; Solanaceae.
CUCGUGUCAAAUGAAAGCCCUGUAAAUCAGUCUUUUCCAUCCUUUCUUUGUUUUAGUUUCGAAACAGUGUUAGACGCAAAGGGAUUCAAAGAAAACAAACAAUUGAUAGAGAAUGAGUUUAAUACAAGAAGUAUCCCUUCCGGGAAAAGGAGAAAAGGACUUAUUUGGAGUACAUAAGGACUUCAAUGAACAUGACAUGCCCUUUGGACUAGAUGCCUGAUCUGUGUAAACCAUCCGACUCUCAGAAAUUUAUCAUUACUUUUGCCUCAAAAUCGAGAAACCUUUGCAGGACUAUGUCGGUGAUGGUGGCUGUAAGGAUCCUCUUUUUGAUCAGGGGCGCCCUUUACGGGUUUUCACGAGUUGACCUCUCUCAUUUCUUUUCUUGUAUUAUAGAGCUCUUUAUGAGUUUUCACUAACAAGAUUCUUUAAUUUUUCAUUUCUCUGCUUACCAUCGCCUCAUGGUGCCCCGUGUGGGUUUUCACCAAUAAGACUCUCUCAUUUUAUUUCUCUCAUUUUGUUGUGUCAGAUACAAGUAACUGUAUUCUCUGAUCCUCAAAAAUUCUCACCGAUUGAUCAGAAAGACUUGAGAGGAUUCGGGUAAAAAUGAUUUGGAUUGAAUUAACACUUUGGAACCAAUCGCGCGGGAUCAACGUCGAACCAUUAUAACACUUGCCCCAGUUUCACUUUCGGGGGACUUUGGAUUUUCAUUUUGGUGUGACUGAACCUCAGAGAGGCUGCCUACGUAUCCUUUCUUGAACAUUCUCACCAAUUAAUCUGAAAGACUUGAACAGGAUUUGGACAAAAAGGAUUUGGAUUGAGUUACAACUUUGGAACCUUUUGGGAGGGAUUAUCGCAGAACCAAUAUAACAUCUGCCCCCGUUUCACUUUUGGGGAAAUUUGAAUUUUUAUUUUGGUGUGAGUGAAGCCCAGAGAGAGGCUGCCUACGUAUCCUUUUGGAAUCAAGUCGAACAUAGUUCAGGGAACUUUGUUUUUUUGAUUUUCUUUUGUUUUUCUUCUUUUUUUUGUUUUCUUCUUUCCUUUUUCCUCUCUUUUCAUUUUUUUCAUUUCAUUUUCUUUGUAUUUUCUUCCUUCUUCUUUUCCUUCUAUUUCAUUUUUUCGUUUUUCCAACUAUUUUUUUGACACUUUCCGGUUCCAAAGAGGGUAGUCAAAGAACAGUAACCGACUCAAAGGGUUUGCAAAGGGUUGAUAGUGUUUGGGUAGCGAGAAUGAAAGCCUUCGUCAUCCCAACUGGAGAAUAUUAAUACUAUAUGGAGGAUCAAUCAGAGUACCUUUUGGCUGCAUUUGCAUUGACAGCUAUUUCAAGGACAUUUCCUUCAACGUGUCCCAAGUACAACGCACUCUUUUGGCAGUACUCUUGUUGCAAUUAUGGACCUUUCCAAUCCGAGAACCAAUUUUCCUUUAUUUGUUCUAACUCAUUGUUUUAUUGUCCUGAGCUAAUAUUCAUUGCGACCCAAUUCUUGAUUCAUUAUUUCGAGAUCUGGCAAUGUAUUAGGAUCCGGACAUGAAGUCCACAUGCAUGUCAUGUUAUUAAAAUCUGCAUUUAACAAAACUAAAAAGAGAAUUAGAAAAUUAAGAAGAUUAAGAAAAGAGACAUAUUUUUUUUUACUUUUGUUCAAUUAUUUGAAGAUAAAAGGGUUUACAUCGGAAAGUAAGACAAUAAAGUAAAGACAUUUGUAUCACAACCUGAGAUAAUUCGGACGCAAAAAGGAUAGCAAGACUGGCAACUGAGACUCUGUCUGAUGGGGAACUUUCAGACUUGGCAACUAUUUUUUCGCUUUUCUUCUAUCUCGGCAAUAGCUUCAAUAUCCUUCAGUUCCGAAUCAAAUUCCUUAGCUUCACAAAUCAUUCCAACUAUUGGCCUGGUAUUGUGGGCAGGCAACAUAUUGUUCAUCACAUCAGGAGUUUCUUCAUCCUGAAAAAUAAUUCUUUCAGCUUCAAUCAAAUCCCCAACUACCCUUUUGAGGGUCCAACAGUCCUCUGUAUUGUGUCCUACUGCUCCAUAGUGGUAUUCACAGAUACGAUCAUCUCGGUGCGAGGGGGACUCAGGGUUCGGCCAGUUCAGGGCCACUGACUGCAAUAGAUCUAGCCGGAUUAGCUCUUAGAACAAGCUUGAAUAUGAUUCACCAAUAGGAGUGAACUAAUUCUUUCUGAAAGGCUCUCCUAGGCGAGGACUGUAUUGGGAAUCAUUUGGUUGAGGAUCAUAUGGAUCUUGGUAAGGAUGGGCAUUUUCUGGGAGGUGGUGCUUGGUUUUGUGUAUAAUAUUAUGGAGCAGUGUUGGAUUGCACGCCCAUCAUCGCACAUGGAGGCGGCGCCACAACAUAAGCAUUAUCUUGAAGGGGAUAAUAGUAUGGUGGGACCAUAAGAGGCACAUAUGACUUGGUGAAUGACCUACGGGCCCCUAGAGCUUGAAAUCAUCAUGACUCUCUUUUCACUCCCAUUUCUGUUUAUCAAAUCCUCCAAACCAUUAUGAGAAAACUGUGAUGUGGCCUUAAAAGAAGCAUGACUCAAGAUUCGACCCGUUUUCAAACCAUUUUCAACCAUUUCCCCAAUUUUGAUAGCCUCGGCAAAUGGCUUACCCAUAGCAGACAUCAUGUUCUAGAAGUAGUCAGCCUUUUAGGCAUGCAGAAAAACCGUGACCAUUUCAGUUUCGUCCAUUUGAGGCUUUACCCUAGUAGCUUGCUCACGCCAUUUGACAGCAUAUUCGCAGAAGCUUUCCUCAGUUUUCUUUCUCAAAUUAGACAAGGAAUUUCUGUCGGGAGCGAUGUCCACAUUGUAUUGGAACUGGCAGACAAAAUCGCGAGCCAUAUCAACCCAACCGUGCCAAUGAGUAAUUUCUUGACCCGUAUACCGCUCAGAAGCGAUUACGGUGAGGCUUUCCCCUAAAUAGGCCAUUAGCAGCUUAGUUUUUCCAUCAACACCCCUCAAUUGUUGUAGUAUAAUUUCAUAUGAGCAACCGGGUCUCCAUGCCCAUUAUACUUCUCAAAUUUUGGCAUCUUGAAGCCAACUGGCAGGUGGACAUGGGGACGCAUACAAAGGUCAGAGUAUGACACACUCUUUUUACCACUCAGACCUUGCAUGUUUUUCAGGCUUUGUUCCAGUCUCUUCAUCUUUCAAGCCAUUUCCUUUUGCUUGGCGUUUUUAACAACUUUUCCUUGCCUCGCUGAGAGAUCAUAUCGCGAAGGUUGAGUGAAAGAGUAUGGGGUCACAUUUGUUAUUUUUGGUUGGAUCUGUGGACUCUGAAAGAUGAACAUUGGAGGCCAUGCCCUGGAAGCCGGUGCCUGGGGGCGAACCACAGAAGGAAUGACAUGAUCAUUGAACGACAUUGGAGGGUGCCCGCCUGGGAUGAGCGAGUUGGGCAUAGGGGUGUUGGUAACCUCACUUGACCUAGGGAUCAACUCAGGAACCUAGGGUUUGCACUUGGCGGUUCCCUACCAUUAGACCAGGCGUCCCACAUUUCCAUGAUGCGGAGAUGCAAUAUCUUAUUCUCUUUAGCAGCUGCUGAUUCUAACUAUAGAAUAGCCGAUGCUGGGUUAUCCUCAGGACCAAUGAUUGGUAGAUUACUUGCGGAGGCCAUCUGUGCCUUUUGAUUUUGUGAGGGAGGGAAGGCUAGACUACCAACAAAACCAACCGCCAAAACCUGACUAGUUUGCACAUCUAACAACCUUGUUAGUUUUGAAACAUUUAACAUAUAGAAAAUCGCACGUCGGGAUGCAAUGCACCUAACAGUUAAACGCUUCUACCGUGUGUUUGAACGGUUGCAUGUUUCAUCCCAGAUUUAACUAGCCCUUUUCACUCUAUACCUCUUUUCUUCAUUCCUGUCUCUCUUAAAUCAUUCUUGAUUUUUUCUUCCAUCUUGUUUUUGCCGCUCUUUUAUUUUUGCACUUUCUUUUUCUCUAUUUGUUUGUCACUAUUUAUUUCUUGUUGCUCUUUUUUUCACUUUUUCUUUCUUUUUCACUCAAUUUUUUUUCAGUUUAUUUUUCACUUAAUUUAUUUAUGGCUAUGAUCGAAUCCGAUGGGGAUUGCCAACGUAUCAUGACCCCGCAUGAAUUAGAUCUUGUGUAGUUCGGGAAGAUCGAUAAUGGAGUAAAUAAACUAACUCUUUUUUGGGGAAGUUGUUGAAAGAAAUGUUUUAAAAGAAGAAAGGAAAUAUUUUUUGAUUUUUCGAUUUUGAUUUUUCUUUUAUAUUUUGAAAGAAAGUCUUCUAUUCAUUUUCUUUUGAUUUGAACUUUGAAAAUUUUAAAAGUAAAAAAGAAAAAUAUUUUGUUUGAAUUUUUAUUUGUUUUCUCUUUUUCUAAAGAAGCAAGAAAAAUACUUUUGGCUUUUCGAUGUUGCCUCUUAAUUUUCUAUAGAGAGACUUUUAAGAAAGAGUUUUGGAUUAUUGAGUUUUUAUUUAUUUACAAAAGUACUUCUAAAGAAAAACAAAAAUAUUUUUUAGACUUCAAUUUUUCAAAAUUUUUAUGGCCAUUUACAAAAAAAAAGACAUCUAAAGAGUAUUUUACGGAUUUUUGUUUCAGAUGGUUUUUUUUCUGGAAAAAUACUUCAAAAGGAAGGAAACGCGUACUUUGGAUUUUGAUUUUUAUUGAUUUUUCUUUUUCGUAUGAAAGGCAUUUGAAAGAAGGAAACUAUUAUUUUUAGUUUAAAAACUAUUUUUUUUUUAAUUUUCCGAGGAAAGAUUUAUACAGAAGGAACUAAACAAAAAAAAUUUGGAUUAUUUUUUAAAAUUGGGGUCGAAACUGAUGAAGUUUGCAUACGUAUCUCACAUCCGGUGAAAAUGAGACCCGCGUAGUUUGGUCAGUUUUGAUGGAACUAGGAAAACGUGGCACUUGAAAUUAUUAUUAUUUUUGGCUCAUUUUGAAAUGACUUUUCUUUUUUCAGAAUUUCAAAAUUUUCUAAACCUACCUCUUACCUUCUUUUUUCCCCGUUUUUUUAUUUUCUUCCUCUAUUCUAGAAGUCGGUCAACAUACAGUCGAACAAACAAUGCGCAAGUAGCAUGUAAGAUGUAUCAGGAUGGCCUUUUUAAUUUGGAUACACCUGUUCUAGACAAACCCAACCCAUGUGUUAAGUUUCCAAAGUCAAAUGGACGUGAUGCAAACAAACGUUCCUACUAGGGAUAUGGUAUGAGCCUUUGUUAUACUAGGUUUAAAAUCUGAGUUCAUUGUUCUAGAACUGACUUACCCGAGCGGACAACUCAAGCCGAGAGAGGGGCGGCGUACGAAAAUACAAAAGCUUCGCCGGCUUAGCAACUUGUCCGAACCUCGUUCUAAAUGGAAUAAAACUCUAAAUAGAAGAGAAGGCACACAAAGUACACCCUUCUCCAUGAUGUAGAAGACUCACAGACAGAAAGAGUUUCGUACUAGUUUAUAUAUACAAUUCAACAAAUAUCAAAGCGGUAAAGUAUUUAACACUUUUUAGCAUGAAACAUGUAGGAAAAUCAUAUAAUAGAUAACCAAUCAUAAUAGCUAUUCUAAGAUCGAAUUCUUGAAACCUAAACUGAAAUUCUGGGUUCAUGUCCCCAACACAGUCGCUAGAGCUGUCACGCCUCCUUUUUUAUACACCUACCUCAGGGAUAAUGUAUAAGGGAGUUUUUUCAGUUUAAGUGACAUUAUUCGAAAUGGAAUUAUUUAUUUGUCAGAGUCCCCACUUGGGAUAGUUUAUUUGGUGUCCCAAGUCACCGGUUUAUUUUGAAUCCCAAAUCGAAAAUUUUUUGACUUUCCUUAUGAAAUCUGCGAACCAGAAACUCUGACUAAGGAAUUUUGUUAAUCCGGGGAAGGUGUUAGCCACCCCCAGAUUCCGUGGUUCUAGCACGGUCGCUUAAACUAUUACAAUUGGCCUAUUAUCUGAUUUUAAUACAUGUUUACCCUAUGGUGUAAUGUUAAAUUAUGUACCGCUUCUAAUUAAUUUUAAGGAAGAUUAAACGUCGUUUAAAACAUGUCUUUGGAUCGCUUCACAUGAACGCAUUUUUUUGGGAUUUGGAUCUAGGUCACAUGAAAUGUGCACCCGGGUUUAGGAAGUUAAUAGUAUUAAAAUAACGUGCCUGAAGCAACUACGCAUUAUUAAAUUUGCAAGAGCCGUGAAAAUUUGCUAAUGGCACGCCUCGAUUUCUAAAGAGUUAAAAUUAAUGAAAUGAGGUCCAUGAGUUUUGAAAAUUUAUUUGGUAUGGAACGUUUAGACUUAUUCUAACAAAAGGGUUAUAUAUUUUAAAAGGAAAUUAAAGGUGCUCGUAUUUUAAUCUAAUUUUAAAAAAAAAAGUUAUCGCAACCACAUCACGGGAAUAAUACCCAUAAUUGAAAUAAUAUAAUUGCGCCUACAUUAUUAUACAAAUAUUCAUAAGUCAAUUUGUUUUUCUAACUUCCUAUGAAAUUCGCUGAAGGUCAUACUAUGUGACAGAAGAAAUGUCGAAGUCAUCAAUCGACAUAUUUAUAUGACUAAAGGUGAAAAUGCAUUCAAUGCAAGUCACAAACUCAUUGAAUUUGGUCUUUGGUUCACGAUUUUAAAAUAUGACAUAGCUCAUGUGAUCUCAAACCAACAACAACAAUUAUUUAAACUUAAAAGAGAUCAAUCAGAAAUGUUUUGUCAAAAACUAACAUGUAUUACUUUGUGAUAAAGAUUCAGAAUGUUUUUUUUACAUUGAAACUAUAUGUAUGGUCAUGGAUCUUAAAUCGGUAUUUGAAAUCUGUCACAUUUUUUUUCCAACACAUUGAAAGACCGCAGAUGGCAUUGGGUGCGGCAGUAAUAAACUCUUUUACUAACAAUUUCCGCAGAAGAACUUUAAAUAUGUUCACAUUAGUGUAGCUACACCUAAAUCGAACUUUGUUUAUAGCUCAUGAUAUCACAAAAUCAACAACAACGACCAUUUAAAACUCAUCAUGGGAGCAGAAGAUUUCAGAUUUUUAUUCAAACUUAACGUCAGAUAUAAAGAAGACCUUUAUCAAACACAUAGGUGAACAAAUAUUGUAUAUAUCAUAACAUUACAGCAUCCAAACGAUAACUACAUUACCGAAGAUUGAAAUUGGUACCUCAACAGCAGUACAAACUGCAAUUAGCCAAAUAAAGGCAAGAGAUAAAGAGCAGGCACAUCAAUCCAGUGAAAUAGCCAAGUAGCUCCAAUUACUGACUAGAUUCAGUUUGAAAACCCAGGAAAGCGAUGUAGGAGAUCUCUUUGAAUCGAAAAACACAAACUAAUUAUUUUUGAGUGUAGAAAUCAACUCUUAUUCUAUUUUUUUUGAAGCUGGACAUUUCAGAUUUUAGAAAGGAAAUUUUUGACUUUCAAAAUCUGUUUUCAGAUGUUUCUCGCGUGUGUGUCAAGAUGUGUGCCUGUGUGAUUUUGUGAAGGGAUCUCAAAAUCAGAGAGGAGAUUGCUGAUUUUUACGGAAAAUGGAGGAGAAACUUUUUCAGCUCUCCAAACGUGCCGCCUCUGUAUAUUUUCAGAGGAAGGUCCCAAAAAUCUCUUCUCCUCCUUUUUAGGUGUAGG